This 2562-nucleotide small RNA is filed under the name Pan troglodytes (chimpanzee). RNAcentral describes it as "retained intron". Lineage: Eukaryota; Metazoa; Chordata; Mammalia; Primates; Hominidae. The record is from RNAcentral.
CGGGCUUGCCCUGCGGAGCAGUAGCCCGGAACAGAUCCACUUGCAGGUUGCUGUUCCCAGCCAUGGCUUCGCGCUGCUGGCGCUGGUGGGGCUGGUCGGCGAGGCCUCGGACCCGGCUGCCUCCCGCCGGGAGCACCCCAAGUAGGAGCAGGGCGCCUUUGGGGCUGGAUGGGAGCGCGGGGUGGCCUGCGAGCGCUGAGUAGGGGUCGGAGCAGAGCUGGGGCAGGGCUGGAGAAGGGUGAGACUGAAGGGGUGUCUUCCUGCUGGCGAGAUCCCGGUGGUGUACGGGGGUGGGCGGAGAUCUGUGCGUGAGAUGUGAGGCUUCUAGGGUUAGAGACGGAGGUCAACAAAGGUGAAAAGGAGAGACUUUGAGAUCCACAGGUGUGAGACGGGGUGAAUGGAGGAUGAUACGGAGGUCUAUGGGGCGAGAGGGAAGUCUGAGUCGAAACAGGGAUCUGUAGGAAUAAGACGGGUCUAUAUGGGCAAUAUAGCGUUUUGUGGAGAGAGAGAGGGGUUAGAGGAGGACACCGUGGGGAGACCCACGGGGGCGAGAUUGGGAUGAUAUGGAGGCCGUUGGAAGGAUGUGGGAUUCUAGCCGAUUGGAUAGGGAAUGAAGUGUUGUUGGGCAGGCCAUUGGCAGUGGUGUAGUAGGUUCAUGGGUGAGAUGUGAGGCUCUGGAUGAACCCACAGCCUUUGGGGGUUCAGAUGAAGUAAGAGACCCUGCAAAUGCCAAAGCCUUGAGGAACAAGAGAAGGAGGAUGCAGGCUUCCGCCACCAUUUCUCCACACAGGAGAAGACCCCCCAGAUCUGUGUGGUGGGCAGUGGCCCAGCUGGCUUCUACACUGCCCAACACCUGCUAAAGCAGCACCCCCAGGCCCACGUGGACAUCUACGAGAAACAGCCUGUGCCCUUUGGCCUGGUGCGCUUUGGCGUGGCGCCUGAUCACCCUGAGGUGAAGAAUGUCAUCAACACAUUUACCCAGACGGCCCACUCUGGCCGCUGUGCCUUCUGGGGCAACGUGGAGGUGGGCAGGGACGUGACGGUGCCGGAGCUGCGGGAGGCCUACCACGCCGUGGUGCUGAGCUACGGGGCAGAGGACCAUCGGGCCCUGGAAAUUCCUGGUGAGGAGCUGCCAGGUGUGUGCUCCGCCCGGGCCUUCGUGGGCUGGUACAACGGGCUUCCUGAGAACCAGGAGCUGGAGCCAGACCUGAGCUGUGACACAGCCGUGAUUCUGGGGCAGGGGAACGUGGCUCUGGACGUGGCCCGCAUCCUACUGACCCCACCUGAGCACCUGGAGAGAACGGACAUCACAAAGGCAGCCCUGGGUGUACUGAGGCAGAGUCGAGUGAAGACAGUGUGGCUAGUGGGCCGGCGUGGACCCCUGCAAGUGGCCUUCACCAUUAAGGAGCUUCGGGAGAUGAUUCAGUUACCGGGAGCCCGGCCCAUUUUGGAUCCUGUGGAUUUCUUGGGUCUCCAGGACAAGAUCAAGGAGGUCCCCCGCCCGAGGAAGCGGCUGACGGAACUGCUGCUUCGAACAGCCACAGAGAAGCCAGGGCCGGAGGAAGCUGCCCGCCAGGCAUCGGCCUCCCGUGCCUGGGGCCUCCGCUUUUUCCGAAGCCCCCAGCAGGUGCUGCCCUCACCAGAUGGGCGGCGGGCAGCAGGUGUCCGCCUAGCAGUCACUAGACUGGAGGUGAGUCUCAUGUUUCCCAAAGACACCCCCUUCCCAGGCCUCUGCCACCCGCCUGGUGUUGCCCACACUCUCCCCAACAGGGUGUCGAUGAGGCCACCCGUGCAGUGCCCACGGGAGACAUGGAAGACCUCCCUUGUGGGCUGGUGCUCAGCAGCAUUGGGUAUAAGAGCCGCCCUGUCGACCCAAGCGUGCCCUUUGACUCCAAGCUUGGGGUCAUCCCCAAUGUGGAGGGCCGGGUUAUGGAUGUGCCAGGCCUCUACUGCAGCGGCUGGGUGAAGAGAGGACCUACAGGUGUCAUAGCCACAACCAUGACUGACAGCUUCCUCACCGGCCAGAUGCUGCUGCAGGACCUGAAGGCUGGGUUGCUCCCCUCUGGCCCCAGGCCUGGCUACGCAGCCAUCCAGGCCCUGCUCAGCAGCCGAGGGGUCCGGCCAGUCUCUUUCUCAGACUGGGAGAAGCUGGAUGCUGAGGAGGUGGUCCGGGGCCAGGGCACGGGGAAGCCCAGGGAGAAGCUGGUGGAUCCUCAGGAGAUGCUGCGCCUCCUGGGCCACUGAGCCCAGCCCCAGCCCCGGCCCCCAGCAGGGAAGGGAUGAAUGUUGGGAGGGGAAGGGCUGGGUCCGUCUGAGUGGGACUUUGCACCUCUGCUGAUCCCGGCCGGCCCUGGCUUGGAGGCUUGGCUGCUCUUCCAGCGUCUCUCCUCCCUCCUGGGGAAGGUCGCCCUUGCGCGCAAGGUUUUAGCUUUCAGCAACUGAGGUAACCUUAGGGACAGGUGGAGGUGUGGGCCGAUCUAACCCCUUACCCAUCUCUCUACUGCUGGACUGUGGAGGGUCACCAGGUUGGGAACAUGCUGGAAAUAAAACAGCUGCAACCAA